Long non-coding RNA from Canis lupus familiaris (dog), 327 nucleotides. RefSeq lists it as uncharacterized. The record is from RefSeq and is a predicted model, not a curated record. The transcript is spliced from 3 exons. Lineage: Eukaryota; Metazoa; Chordata; Mammalia; Carnivora; Canidae.
GGGAAAAAUAGCUUAGUUUUGGAGAUGAACAGAGCAGGGUUGAACUCUCAGCAAGGCACAUGUCACUGGACGACCUCAGGAACUUCUAAGGACUGUUAGAGAGGUGGAGUGCAUCCCAGCUGAAGAUAAAUGUAGGACCUUACAUGCCUGUGUACUCACGCCAUCUCUGGAGGGCCGAGUAUGAACCUGCUCUGUGGCAUUUUGAAACACGACUGCCCGCCCCCAUCCUGCUUCAGAGAAACCAGGGAAAUAUAUUCGUGAUCUGGGGAACUUGUCUUUCAUGGCCACUGUUAUAAUCCUACGGUGAAGUGCACUGCCUGGCAUCCU